RNAcentral lists this long non-coding RNA (1427 nucleotides) under Prunus persica (peach). Its description in RNAcentral is "long non-coding RNA (PPER_LNC000340)". The record is from RNAcentral. Lineage: Eukaryota; Viridiplantae; Streptophyta; Magnoliopsida; Rosales; Rosaceae.
GACAAACUAAUGCAACAAGGUGGGUCCUUUUUUAUUUUUUUUAUUUUCUUAUUUUUGUAGUAAAGGGAAUUGCCCCUUUUAAACAAAAUUUAUUUUAAAGGUAUAGCCGGGCGGCUAUACUUCGAAUUUUUUUCUUCUACAGGUAUAGCUAUACUUAUUGUCUGACACGUGGCGCGUUAGCCAAAGAGGGUCAUCAUUUUUUAAAAAAAAUAAUAAAAAUAGUACAGCCGCACGGCUAUACUCCGUGUUUUUUAAUUUAUUUAAAAAUAAAACUGAGUUGACACGUGGCGAAAAAUAGAUGGAGGUCCCCUCUUUUUUUUAUAUUGAAAAUAAUAUAGGCGCGCGGCUAUACUCAUUUUUUUAAAUUCUUUUUAACCGAUCAGUUUUGUAUGGCCGGGCGGCUAUACUUAUUGUUUGACACGUGGCGCGCUAGAGGGUCAUCCUUUUUUAAAAAAAUUAAUAAAAAUAGUACAGCCGAACGGCUAUACUCUUUGUUUUUUAAUUUAUUUUAAAAAUAAAACUCUGUUGACACGUGGCGACAAAUAGACGGAGGUUUCCUCUUUUUUUAUAUUAAAAAUAGUAUAGCCGCGCGGCUAUACUCAUUAUUUUAAAUUCUUUUUAACCGAUCAGUUAUGUUAUUUAGUAUAUAGUAUAGCCGUGCGGCUAGACUCGAUUUUUGUCUAGUUUCUUUUAAAAAUAGUACAGCCGGGAGGUUUUACUGUUUUUUUUAUAUAAAAACAUUGUCUUUAAUAAAUAGUAUAGACGAGCGGCGAUGGUCUUUUACAUAUACACACACACACAUAUAUAUAUAUAUAUAUAUUUACGUACGUACGUAUUUUUUAAUAAUAGAUUCGUGUUCUAUACACGUCUCACUUUUUUUAAAAGCAAACAUACAAUAGUCGUAUUGUACUUGUGCGUACGUAUUUUUAAUAUUUUAUACACGUAUUGUUUUCAAAAUUUCCAACAAUACGCACAAAAUUCGCUUAUCAUACAAAUAAUUCUCAUAUAUUAAUGAAUAAGAAUAACAUAUGUUAUAAAACUUACAUGAAAAUAUCAUAUAGUGGAAGAUUAAUAUCUACUUUGGAUAUGUUGAAACUAGAAAAUUAAUAUUUAAACGGGACAAACUAAUGCAACAAGGUGGGUCCUUUUUUAUUUUUUUUAUUUUCUUAUUUUUGUAGUAAAGGGAAUUGCCCCUUUUAAACAAAAUUUAUUUUAAAGGUAUAGCCGGGCGGCUAUACUUCGAAUUUUUUUCUUCAACAGGUAUAGCUAUACUUAUUGUCUGACACGUGGCGCGUUAGCCAAAGAGGGUCAUCCUUUUUUAAAAAAAUUAAUAAAAAUAGUACAGCCGAACGGCUCUACCCCGUGUUUUUUAAUUUAUUUUAAAAAUAAAACUGUGUUGACACGUGGCGAAAAAUAGAUGGAGGUUU